GAUGAUCUGCCGCUGGUUGCGACCUCAUCGGAAAGGGACGCCACUUGGAAUAGUAUUAUUGGGAGGGGAAUAUAUCUUCUUUGCUUGCCCUCGCCCGGGAUAUUUUUCUUGCUUGACGUUGCUGGCAGCAGACAGGGAGAGGCAUGUCAUGGCCGGCCGCCGCAGUUGAUGAGACUAGCUAGUCCUAGCUAGGAGUAGCACAGUAGCCAACCCUCUGAUCGAUC
RNAcentral lists this long non-coding RNA (224 nucleotides) under Setaria italica (foxtail millet). Its description in RNAcentral is "long non-coding RNA (SITA_LNC001759)". The record is from RNAcentral. Lineage: Eukaryota; Viridiplantae; Streptophyta; Magnoliopsida; Poales; Poaceae.